AGUGAACGCUGGCGGUAGGCCUAACACAUGCAAGUCGAACGGCAGCACAGUAAGAGCUUGCUCUUACGGGUGGCGAGUGGCGGACGGGUGAGGAAUACAUCGGAAUCUACUUUUUCGUGGGGGAUAACGUAGGGAAACUUACGCUAAUACCGCAUACGACCUACGGGUGAAAGCAGGGGAUCUUCGGACCUUGCGCGAUUGAAUGAGCCGAUGUCGGAUUAGCUAGUUGGCGGGGUAAAGGCCCACCAAGGCGACGAUCCGUAGCUGGUCUGAGAGGAUGAUCCGCCACACUGGAACUGAGACACGGUCCAGACGCCUACGGGAGGCAGCAGUGGGGAAUAUUGGACAAUGGGCGCAAGCCUGAUCCAGCCAUACCGCGUGGGUGAAGAAGGCCUUCGGGUUGUAAAGCCCUUUUGUUGGGAAAGAAAAGCAGCAGGUUAAUACCCCGCUGUUCUGACGGUACCCAAAGAAUAAGCACCGGCUAACUUCGU
This 491-nucleotide ribosomal RNA is filed under the name uncultured bacterium. RNAcentral's name for it is "partial 16S ribosomal RNA". It matches the Rfam family "Bacterial small subunit ribosomal RNA", at positions 29 to 506 of the family's 1533-position model. The record is from RNAcentral.